RNAcentral lists this ribosomal RNA (320 nucleotides) under uncultured eukaryote. Its description in RNAcentral is "partial 18S ribosomal RNA". It matches the Rfam family "Eukaryotic small subunit ribosomal RNA", at positions 1470 to 1796 of the family's 1831-position model. The record is from RNAcentral.
CCCCUAGAUGUCCUGGGCCGCACGCGCGCUACACUGAACAGUUCAACAAGUCUUAACCUUGGCCGAUAGGUCUGGGUAAUCUUUGAACGCUGUUCGUGAUUGGGAUAGACCUUUGCAAUUAUGGGUCUUCAACGAGGAAUUCCUAGUAAACGCAAGUCAUCAGCUUGCAUUGAUUACGUCCCUGCCCUUUGUACACACCGCCCGUCGCACCUACCGAUUGAAUGGUCCGGUGAAAUCUCGGGACGGCGGCUUGGUCGCUUGCGUCCGACUGCUGAAACUUGAUUAAACCAUAUCAUUUAGAGGAAGGUGAANUCGUANCA